GGUAUCUUGCCCGAGUGGUCUAAGGGGGCGGGCUUAAGAUCCGCUAGACAUACCAGUCUGCGUGGGUUCAAACCCCACAGAUCAGUGUUGUCA
This 93-nucleotide transfer RNA is filed under the name Phytophthora infestans (potato late blight agent). RNAcentral describes it as "tRNA-Leu". It matches the Rfam family "tRNA". Rfam says of the family: Transfer RNA (tRNA) molecules are approximately 80 nucleotides in length. Their secondary structure includes four short double-helical elements and three loops (D, anti-codon, and T loops). The record is from RNAcentral. Lineage: Eukaryota; Oomycota; Peronosporomycetes; Peronosporales; Peronosporaceae.